Molecule: ribosomal RNA, 497 nt
Filed under: uncultured bacterium
Lineage: Bacteria
Description: partial 16S ribosomal RNA
Rfam family: Bacterial small subunit ribosomal RNA
Source: RNAcentral
GAUGAACGCUGGCGGCGUGCCUAAUACAUGCAAGUCGAGCGAACAGACGAGGAGCUUGCUCCUCUGACGUUAGUGGCAGACGGGUGAGUAACACGUGGAUAACCUACCUAUAAGACUGGGAUAACUUCGGGAAACCGGAGCUAAUACCGGAUAAUAUAUUGAACCGCAUGGUUCAAUAGUGAAAGACGGUUUUGCUGUCACUUAUAGAUGGAUCCGCGCCGCAUUAGCUAGUUGGUAAGGUAACGGCUUACCAAGGCGACGAUGCGUAGCCGACCUGAGAGGGUGAUCGGCCACACUGGAACUGAGACACGGUCCAGACUCCUACGGGAGGCAGCAGUAGGGAAUCUUCCGCAAUGGGCGAAAGCCUGACGGAGCAACGCCGCGUGAGUGAUGAAGGUCUUCGGAUCGUAAAACUCUGUUAUUAGGGAAGAACAAAUGUGUAAGUAACUAUGCACGUCUUGACGGUACCUAAUCAGAAAGCCACGGCUAACUACGUG